Molecule: ribosomal RNA, 492 nt
Filed under: uncultured bacterium
Lineage: Bacteria
Description: partial 16S ribosomal RNA
Rfam family: Bacterial small subunit ribosomal RNA
Source: RNAcentral
AGUGAACGCUGGCGGUAGGCCUAACACAUGCAAGUCGAACGGCAGCACAGUAAGAGCUUGCUCUUACGGGUGGCGAGUGGCGGACGGGUGAGGAAUACAUCGGAAUCUACUUUUUCGUGGGGGAUAACGUAGGGAAACUUACGCUAAUACCGCAUACGACCUACGGGUGAAAGCAGGGGAUCUUCGGACCUUGCGCGAUUGAAUGAGCCGAUGUCGGAUUAGCUAGUUGGCGGGGUAAAGGCCCACCAAGGCGACGAUCCGUAGCUGGUCUGAGAGGAUGAUCAGCCACACUGGAACUGAGACACGGUCCAGACUCCUACGGGAGGCAGCAGUGGGGAAUAUUGGACAAUGGGCGCGAGCCUGAUCCAGCCAUACCGCGUGGGUGAAGAAGGCCUUCGGGUUGUAAAGCCCUUUUGUUGGGAAAGAAAAGCAGCAGGCUAAUACCCCGCUGUUCUGACGGUACCCAAAGAAUAAGCACCGGCUAACUUCGUG